GGGGUUGUGGCUCAGUGACAGAGCACUUUCCUGGCAUGUAUGAGGCCUGGGUUCUAUUCUCAGCACCG
This 68-nucleotide transfer RNA is filed under the name Ictidomys tridecemlineatus (thirteen-lined ground squirrel). RNAcentral describes it as "Spermophilus tridecemlineatus (thirteen-lined ground squirrel) tRNA". It matches the Rfam family "tRNA". From Rfam's summary of the family: Transfer RNA (tRNA) molecules are approximately 80 nucleotides in length. The record is from Rfam by way of RNAcentral. Lineage: Eukaryota; Metazoa; Chordata; Mammalia; Rodentia; Sciuridae.